This 406-nucleotide unclassified non-coding RNA is filed under the name soil metagenome. RNAcentral's name for it is "partial contains 5.8S ribosomal RNA, internal transcribed spacer 2, and large subunit ribosomal RNA". The stretch from base 1 to 121 matches the Rfam family "5.8S ribosomal RNA", at positions 35 to 154 of the family's 154-position model. The record is from RNAcentral.
GAUGAAGAACGCAGCGAAAUGCGAUAAGUAAUGUGAAUUGCAGAAUUCAGUGAAUCAUCGAAUCUUUGAACGCACCUUGCGCCAUUUGGCCUUUCCGAAGGGCAUGCCUGUUUGAGUAUCAUGAACACCUCAACUCUUCAUGGUUUUCCAUGAUGAGCUUGGACUUUGGGGGUCUUGCUGGCCUGUGGGUCGGCUCCUCUCAAAUGAAUCAGCUUGCCGGUUUUUGGUGGGCAUCACAGGUGUGAUAACUAUCUACGCUUGUGGUUUUCCACCAGGGUAACCUUCAGCAGUGGAGGUUCACUGGAGCUUACAAAUGUCUCUCCUCUGUGAGGACAGCCCUUUGAAUGUUUGAUCUCAAAUCAGGUAGGACUACCCGCUGAACUUAAGCAUAUCAAUAAGCGGAGGA